Molecule: ribosomal RNA, 253 nt
Filed under: uncultured bacterium
Lineage: Bacteria
Description: partial 16S ribosomal RNA
Rfam family: Bacterial small subunit ribosomal RNA
Source: RNAcentral
UACAGAGGGUGCGAGCGUUAAUCGGAAUUACUGGGCGUAAAGCGUGCGUAGGCGGUUAUUUAAGUCGGAUGUGAAAGCCCCGGGCUCAACCUGGGAAUUGCAUUCGAGACUGAAUAGCUAGGGUGCGGUAGAGGGAAGCGGAAUUUCCGGUGUAGCGGUGAAAUGCGUAGAUAUCGGAAGGAACACCAGUGGCGAAAGCGGCUUCCUGGUCCAGCACCGACGUUCAGGCACGAAAGCGUGGGGAGCAAACAGG